GUGCCAGCAGCCGCGGUAAUACGUAGGGGGCAAGCGUUGUCCGGAUUUAUUGGGCGUAAAGAGCGUGUAGGCGGCUAGGUAGGUCCGUUGUGAAAACUCGAGGCUCAACCUCGAGACGUCGAUGGAAACCAUCUAGCUAGAGUCCGGAAGAGGAGAGUGGAAUUCCUGGUGUAGCGGUGAAAUGCGCAGAUAUCAGGAAGAACACCCGUGGCGAAGGCGGCUCUCUGGUACGUGACUGACGCUGAGACGCGAAAGCGUGGGGAGCAAACAGGAUUAGAUACCCUGGUAGUCC
RNAcentral lists this ribosomal RNA (292 nucleotides) under uncultured bacterium. RNAcentral's name for it is "partial 16S ribosomal RNA". It matches the Rfam family "Bacterial small subunit ribosomal RNA", at positions 505 to 796 of the family's 1533-position model. The record is from RNAcentral.